UGUCCUCCAAAUAGGGACCAGUAUGAAAGGCAACAUGAGAAAGAAGCUGUCUCUUUAGAUCGACCAAUGAAACUGACCUGCCUGUACAAAAGCAGGCAUAUAAAAACAAGACAAAAAGACCCUGUGAAACUUUAAAUGUCAGUCAACUAAAUGACUAAAACAUUUUCGGUUGGGGCAACCAAAGAGAAACAAAAACCUCACCAACAGUUACAAGGUAAACAAGCCUACUAACACCAAUUAUAGACCCAGCACCGCUGAUUAAAGAGACAAGCUACUCCAGGGAUAACAGCGCCACAUUCUUGAAGAGUUCAUAUCAACAAGAAUACCUACGACCUCGAUGUUGGAUUGGGGUAUCCUGAUGGUGCAAAAGCUAUCAAAGGUUCGUUUGUUCAACGAUUAAAAC
This 403-nucleotide ribosomal RNA is filed under the name Gonocephalus grandis (Giant forest dragon). Its description in RNAcentral is "16S rRNA". It matches the Rfam family "Bacterial large subunit ribosomal RNA", at positions 1970 to 2594 of the family's 2925-position model. The record is from RNAcentral. Lineage: Eukaryota; Metazoa; Chordata; Lepidosauria; Squamata; Agamidae.